RNAcentral lists this ribosomal RNA (497 nucleotides) under uncultured bacterium. Its description in RNAcentral is "partial 16S ribosomal RNA". It matches the Rfam family "Bacterial small subunit ribosomal RNA", at positions 28 to 507 of the family's 1533-position model. The record is from RNAcentral.
GAUGAACGCUGGCGGCGUGCCUAAUACAUGCAAGUCGAGCGAACAGACGAGGAGCUUGCUCCUCUGACGUUAGCGGCGGACGGGUGAGUAACACGUGGAUAACCUACCUAUAAGACUGGGAUAACUUCGGGAAACCGGCGCUAAUACCGGAUAAUAUAUUGAACCGCAUGGUUCAAUAGUGAAAGACGGUUUUGCUGUCACUUAUAGAUGGAUCCGCGCCGCAUUAGCUAGUUGGUAAGGUAACGGCUUACCAAGGCGACGAUGCGUAGCCGACCUGAGAGGGUGAUCGGCCACACUGGAACGGAGACACGGUCCAGACUCCUACGGGAGGCAGCAGUAGGGAAUCUUCCGCAAUGGGCGAAAGCCUGACGGAGCAACGCCGCGUGAGUGAUGAAGGUCUUCGGAUCGUAAAACUCUGUUAUUAGGGAAGAACAAAUGUGUAAGUAACUAUGCACGUCUUGACGGUACCUAAUCAGAAAGCCACGGCUAACUACGUG